Molecule: ribosomal RNA, 220 nt
Filed under: uncultured eukaryote
Lineage: Eukaryota
Description: partial 18S ribosomal RNA
Rfam family: Eukaryotic small subunit ribosomal RNA
Source: RNAcentral
GGAAACCUCACCCGGCCCGGACACCGUUAGGAUUGACAGAUUGAGAGCUCUUUCUUGAUUCGGUGGGUGGUGGUGCAUGGCCGUUCUUAGUUGGUGGAGCGAUUUGUCUGGUUAAUUCCGAUAACGAACGAGACUCUAGCCUACUAAUAGUUCGAGGAUAUACUAUUUAACCUCGCAAACUUCUUAGAGGGACAGGUGGCGUUUAGCCACACGAGAUUGA